UACGGAGGAUCCAAGCGUUAUCCGGAUUUAUUGGGUUUAAAUGGUGCGCAGGCGGAAGAUUAAGUCGGCGGUGAAAUUUUGCAGCUCAACUGUAAAAGUGCCAUCGAUACUGGUUUUCUUGAGUGUGGAUGAAGUAGGCGGAAUUUGUGGUGUAGCGGUGAAAUGCAUAGAUAUCACGAGGAACUCCGAUUGCGCAGGCAGCUUACUAGGCCAUAACUGACGCUCAGGCACGAAGGCGUGGGGAUCAAGCAGGA
This 254-nucleotide ribosomal RNA is filed under the name uncultured prokaryote. RNAcentral describes it as "partial 16S ribosomal RNA". It matches the Rfam family "Bacterial small subunit ribosomal RNA", at positions 524 to 777 of the family's 1533-position model. The record is from RNAcentral.